ACUCAUACCUUGCAAGGGAAGUACCAUGUCAUAAAAGUGUUUUUUCUAAGGGGAGGCUUAUUCAUUGCACUUUGGGUGUGCUGCUGAUCCCUGUGAUUUUCCUAAAUGUGGGAAACUCAUCUGCAUACUUUGUGUUAAUGGGAGAUUAAAUUUAUGAUUAAUCUUGUU
RNAcentral lists this small nuclear RNA (168 nucleotides) under Pogona vitticeps (central bearded dragon). Its description in RNAcentral is "U1 spliceosomal RNA (ENSPVIG00000007825.1)". It matches the Rfam family "U1 spliceosomal RNA". From Rfam's summary of the family: U1 is a small nuclear RNA (snRNA) component of the spliceosome (involved in pre-mRNA splicing). Its 5' end forms complementary base pairs with the 5' splice junction, thus defining the 5' donor site of an intron. The record is from Rfam by way of RNAcentral. Lineage: Eukaryota; Metazoa; Chordata; Lepidosauria; Squamata; Agamidae.